AGCCCAUGGUGAGGGAACCGUCUUAAUAAAUCCUUGUAUCUCUCUCAUGCAUUAUAUAAAGUCUCUAAAUCGAUUUGAACAAAACAAGAGAUGUCAUUCCUCAACUU
Molecule: non-coding RNA, 107 nt
Organism: Gossypium hirsutum (cotton)
Lineage: Eukaryota; Viridiplantae; Streptophyta; Magnoliopsida; Malvales; Malvaceae
Source: Rfam